GUUUCUUUGCCUCUACGUGCGCAGGGCCGUGUGAGGUCACCGGGAAUAGAAAAGGCGUUUGUGCAAAUGAGGGGCAGCUGAAAACAACCCACUGUUUCUGGUCUGUGAAGAGUCUGACUCUGAAGCGUCACGUUGGAAUUAUUUCAAAAGGAAGCUACAAACCUAGCUGAUCAGAGCUCCACAGGUGCAAUAACAGUUCCUGACUGAUAAAGAAGAAAUAAAAGUUUCUGCUGGAUUUAUUUAGGACAUGCCUAUGCAGCCAGGUUUUGCAGAUCAUGAAGUAAAUAUAGGCUGGUUUUCUGAGUUUGGUGGUGAGCAGACAUCCACUGAAGAAAGAUACGGGAAUAAGCCAAGAAUGAGAAAGUAGCAAAAUCCUCUGCUACAGCAGUAUGUUGAAAAGCUUGCAAGACUAUAAUUUAUAUGCACUUGUAAA
Long non-coding RNA from Poecile atricapillus (Black-capped chickadee), 433 nucleotides. RefSeq lists it as uncharacterized. NCBI's taxonomy places the organism in Eukaryota, Metazoa, Chordata, Aves, Passeriformes, Paridae. The transcript is spliced from 3 exons. The record is from RefSeq and is a predicted model, not a curated record.